AUACGGCCAUAUCAGGUUGAUCCACCGGUUCUCGUACGAUCUCAAAAGUUAAGCAAAGUCGAACCUGAUCAGUAUCAAGAUUGGUAACGAAUUGUGAAUACCAGGUGCUGCG
Non-coding RNA from Acanthosepion pharaonis, 112 nucleotides. NCBI's taxonomy places the organism in Eukaryota, Metazoa, Mollusca, Cephalopoda, Sepiida, Sepiidae. The record is from the annotation of a GenBank genome assembly.